This is a long non-coding RNA of Olea europaea var. sylvestris, 1848 nucleotides long. RefSeq lists it as uncharacterized. The transcript is spliced from 2 exons. NCBI's taxonomy places the organism in Eukaryota, Viridiplantae, Streptophyta, Magnoliopsida, Lamiales, Oleaceae. The record is from RefSeq and is a predicted model, not a curated record.
AUAUUCUGUUACUGUAUAAUUGUACGACAAUACAUUUUUAUUCUGUAACUUUUACUUUGGAAUGUCCCCAUAACAUAAAGCAAAAGUCGUAAUAUGGUAAAAGAAUUAGUAGAAUGGAUACUUAUAUUCAUUAAUUAAUUUGAUCUUUAUUUUGGUCUUGUUUCUCUCUAUUUCUGCUAUGUAAUGUCCUUUCUCUUGCUUUAAUAGGUACUCCAUGUCAAGAUUGAUGUUAAACCAACAAUGAGAAUCUUCUGAAACACCCAUCGUGUAAGCAUGUUGUGUUCAAACAUCAAGUAUAUCAGAGAAUCAUCAUUUUAACAAUUUCUUAUCAAUGUUUCUUUUUUAUCUUUUUGUAAUGAUGCUGUCAAGUUGAUGUUUAAUUAAGUUUUGAAGGUGAUCAUUAUAAUCCCAUUUGUAUUCCAAUUUUUUUGCUCCAUAUGUUUGAUUCAGCCUCUUUUAGUUAAAAUUGUUAUGCAAAUAGUUCGUAUAUUCCUUAAAUGUGUUGUCAUUAUUGGGCUGUGUAAGAUGUUGGAUUGGGAAUGGAAAGAUAUCAUUCAGUUUCCAUUAUCUUGGAGUUUAAAGCAAAAUGUCAAACCAGAGAGUCCUGCUAAAAUCCAUGUCAGAAUGAUUACAGCAUAAACAUUUCACAUAAUUUUGUGAACAUAAUAAUCCCCAAAUCUUUGUAUAUACUUGGAGAACCUAUUUCAGGCACACGACAAAAAUAUUACUAGCUAUUUUCCUAUUGACAAGUUUGAUUGCUACUUUCCAUCUAAACAUUCUGAAAAUUGACAACCCAAAAAUGAACUUUACGUAAAGGACCUUGUUGGAGCACAACAAAUGAAACAAGUUGUAAAUAGUGAAUUGGAAUAGAAAUUUUCCAAUUUAGGCCGGAGACAAACCACGAUUGCCAUCAAUUCAAAUUCAAUGCCUACUCUACUGUCCAAGGACUUAUUUAUAGCUUAGACUCCUAAACAAACUCCCACUUGAACUCAAGCCACGUUCUCCUUCACUUGGGCCGGAAGAUGAGGAACAGACCAGAUAUUUCGAGUUCUAACUUCCAGCAGCUUUUGAAUCAGCGCUCCUGGUUCUACGGUUAACAUAGCCAAAUAUUUCGAAUUGGGCUUCCUUAUUCUUCGAGGCUUAAACAAAAGAGUAUUAAAGACACAAGUAGGUAGGUAGAGAAGACGUAGGGGUACACGAUACUCUUUCCAAGGAAACCAGGUAAAAUAGCCAGUAUCGCAUGACCUAACAUAAGUUCCAAAUGAAACCAACUCUUAUCCACGAUUUGCUUUCUCUCACAUUGUCUGCCUUACAACUACUGGAUUUUCUUUUCUGGUUCCACUUUCUUUGCUGUCAAUUGCUACCAUCCAUUUCAUUUGCGAUCUUGGGGAUAGAUCUUCCAGAAAUGGACAUUGAAAUGGGAAUGAAGGGACCAACGAAUUCAGGAUAACUAAGCCUGGACAAUUUCUUUAACAAAGUGUGCAUCAGAGGAGGAGUGGUCUUUAGUUUAUUUUGUUCAAUUUAAAGUUUCACUUUCCUCUUGUUCAUUGUUGCUAGGUUCAAAAGAUAGAGAAACAAUAUGAAAAACUCAAUAAGCUACUCAGAAAGCUUCUGGUAUUAGUUUGUCCACUGCUCCGGUGGUUUUUCGAACCUUCUUGUGAAAGUGGUUUCCCAUACAAAUCUGCAGCUACUGAAUUUUCCUCCAUUUAGUAUAGAGGUAGGUUCUUUUUGUUUCUAUAUCUUGUAAGUUCAGAGGGCUAAAUCCAAGAGAUGUGAUAGUGGAGGAAAGGCUGGGAUUUCGUGUCAUUUCUACUGAUAUAAUCACAAUCUACUGAUGUUGUAUAGAAA